AAUUGACAUUUGUGAGACAAAUUUGACUUUUGUGAGACAAAAUUGACAAAAUUGAGUUUUGUCUCACAAAAGAUAAUUUUGUUUCACAAAUUUGAA
RNAcentral lists this small RNA (96 nucleotides) under Mytilus galloprovincialis (Mediterranean mussel). Lineage: Eukaryota; Metazoa; Mollusca; Bivalvia; Mytilida; Mytilidae. The record is from RNAcentral.